GAGUUUAUCCUGGCUCAGAAUCAACGCUGGCGGCGUGCCUAACACAUGCAAGUCGAGCGGUAACAGGUGUAGCAAUACAUGCUGACGAGCGGCGGACGGGUGAGUAACGCUUGGGAAUCUGCCUGUUAGUGGGGGACAACCCGGGGAAACACGGGCUAAUACCGCAUACGCACUACGGUGGAAAGCCGGGGACCGCAAGGCCUGGCGCUAACAGAUGAGCCCUUGUCGGAUUAGCUAGUUGGUAGGGUAACGGCCUACCAAGGCGACGAUCCGUAACUGGUCUGAGAGGACGACCAGUCACACCGGAACUGAGACACGGUCCGGACUCCUACGGGAGGCAGCAGUGGGGAAUAUUGGACAAUGGGCGAAAGCCUGAUCCAGCGACGCCGCGUGGGUGAAGAAGGCCUGCGGGUUGUAAAGCCCUUUCGGUGGGGAAGAAAAGCCUCGAGCUAACACCUUGGGGUCUUGACGUAACCCAUAGAAGAAGCCCCGGCCAACUACGUGCCAGCAGCCGCGGUAACACGUAGGGGGCGAGCGUUGUCCGGAUUUAUUGGGCGUAAAGAGCUCGUAGGCGGUUUCGUAAGUCGGAUGUGAAAACUCCAGGCUCAACUUGGAGACGCCAUUCGAUACUGCGAUGACUUGAGUCCGGUAGGGGAGUGUGGAAUUCCUGGUGUAGCGGUGAAAUGCGCAGAUAUCAGGAGGAACACCGGCGGCGAAGGCGGCACUCUGGGCCGGUACUGACGCUGAGGAGCGAAAGCGUGGGUAGCAAACAGGAUUAGAUACCCUGGUAGUCCACGCCGUAAACGAUGUGUGCUUGACGUUGGCGGGUUUACCCGCCGGUGUCGCAGCUAACGCGAUAAGCACACCGCCUAGGGAGUACGGCCGCAAGGUUAAAACUCAAAGGAAUUGACGGGGGCCCGCACAAGCGGUGGAGCAUGUGGUUUAAUUCGACGCAACGCGAAGAACCUUACCAGCCCUUGACAUGGGGAGUAUGGGUUGCCGAGAGGUGAUCCUUCAGUUCGGCUGGCUCCCACACAGGUGCUGCAUGGCUGUCGUCAGCUCGCGUCGUGAGAUGUUGGGUUAAGUCCCGCAACGAGCGCAACCCUCGCCUCCAGUUGCCAUCAGGUUAAGCUGGGCACUUUGGAGGAACUGCCGGUGACAAGCCGGAGGAAGGUGGGGAUGACGUCAAGUCCUCAUGGCCCCUACGGGCUGGGCUACACACGUGCUACAAUGGCGGUGACAGAGGGAAGCGAAGGAGCGAUCCGGAGCCAAUCUCAAAAAGCCGUCUCAGUUCGGAUUGCACUCUGCAACUCGGGUGCAUGAAGGUGGAAUCGCUAGUAAUCCCGGAUCAGCACGCCGGGGUGAAUACGUUCCCGGGCCUUGCACACAC
This 1390-nucleotide ribosomal RNA is filed under the name uncultured Pseudomonadota bacterium. Its description in RNAcentral is "uncultured proteobacterium partial 16S ribosomal RNA". It matches the Rfam family "Bacterial small subunit ribosomal RNA". The record is from RNAcentral. Lineage: Bacteria; Pseudomonadati; Pseudomonadota.